This 236-nucleotide long non-coding RNA is filed under the name Elaeis guineensis (African oil palm). Its description in RNAcentral is "long non-coding RNA (EGUI_LNC001924)". Lineage: Eukaryota; Viridiplantae; Streptophyta; Magnoliopsida; Arecales; Arecaceae. The record is from RNAcentral.
CCAUUAUUUAGAAAAAUUAAAGUCAAAUUUGCAGCUUGGAAAGAUAAAUUAUUAUCCUUGGGAGGAUGGUUAACUUUUAUCAAAGAGGCUUUAACUACCUUACCUUCAUACUCAAUGUCAAUUCUACAUACUAACUUGGGUGGCUAAGAGAAUUGAUAGAUUGAGGACUUUAUCAUUGGCAUGAUGUAAUAUGUUCGCUCGAGGUUAUUGUGGUGGUGGUAUCCAUGUUAGAGCAA